CCUACGGGAGGCUGCAGUGGGGGAUAUUGCACACUGGAGGGAACUCUGAUGCAGCGACGCCGCGUUAGGGACGAAGGUUUUCGGAUUGUAAACCUCUGUCUUCGGUGACGAAACGAGACGGUAGCCGAGGAGGAAGCCACGGCUAACUACGUGCCAGCAGCCGCGGUAAUACGUAGGUGGCAAGCGUUGUCCGGAAUUACUGGGUGUAAAGGGAGCGUAGGCGGGAAAGCAAGUUGAAUGUUUAAGGUACGGGCUCAACCUGUACAAGCGUUCACAACUGUGUUUCUUGAGUGGAGUAGAGGUAAGCGGAAUUCCUAGUGUAGCGGUGAAAUGCGUAAAUAUUAGGAGGAACACCAGUGGCGAAGGCGGUCUGCUGGACAGCAACUGACGCUGAGGCGCGAAAGCGUGGGGAGCAAACAGGAGUAGAUACCCGAGUAGUC
RNAcentral lists this ribosomal RNA (440 nucleotides) under uncultured bacterium. Its description in RNAcentral is "partial 16S ribosomal RNA". It matches the Rfam family "Bacterial small subunit ribosomal RNA", at positions 338 to 795 of the family's 1533-position model. The record is from RNAcentral.